UACGUAGGGUGCAAGCGUUAAUCGGAAUUACUGGGCGUAAAGCGUGCGCAGGCGGUUAUGCAAGACCGAUGGGAAAUCCCCGGGCUCAACCUGGGAACUGCAUUUGUGACUGCAUGGCUAGAGUACGGUAGAGGGGGAUGGAAUUCCGCGUGUAGCAGUGAAAUGCGUAGAUAUGCGGAGGAACACCGAUGGCGAAGGCAAUCCCCUGGACCUGUACUGACGCUCAUGCACGAAAGCGUGGGGAGCAAACAGG
This 253-nucleotide ribosomal RNA is filed under the name uncultured bacterium. RNAcentral describes it as "partial 16S ribosomal RNA". It matches the Rfam family "Bacterial small subunit ribosomal RNA", at positions 524 to 776 of the family's 1533-position model. The record is from RNAcentral.